This 558-nucleotide long non-coding RNA is filed under the name Monodelphis domestica (gray short-tailed opossum). Its description in RNAcentral is "lncRNA (ENSMODG00000050832.1)". Lineage: Eukaryota; Metazoa; Chordata; Mammalia; Didelphimorphia; Didelphidae. The record is from RNAcentral.
UAAAUUCUUUGACCCUUCCCCCCACCCAAUCUUUCAGAAGCUAUAGAGCUCCAGUGUUGGUAUAAGACUUAAACAACAUCCUGACUGAACUGAGGUAUCUCCUUUGGCUGUCUCUUGUCAAGUGAUGACAGCAUUAUUCAUGACUACCUUGUGUGUGGGAGGGAGCAGCCCCUUUGGAGAAAGGGUCCACCAUCUCUACCACUCCUGCCACCAGUAGCACCAACAUCAACUAUCCUCUAGCCAUUGCUUAAAGCCCACAAGCGAAAACUGAAACAGCCAGGUGCCCUGAGAGAGAAAUAAAAGGGAGCAUGUGCAAGGCCAGAAAAACCACCACCACUAUAUCAACCUCCAGGCCCCUCAUUUCCUCUCGCAUCCCAUGGAGAUAGCCCAGUAUCCUUCACUGAAGAGCCACAGGGGCAGGAGGAUUCUACCCAGCUACUUAAGAUGAGUGUACCCUCAUAUGGCUUUGAAGUCCAAAGACUGAGGCGCAAAGUUUGUGGCACAUGGGGCAUGGGACGCCAGUUGUUACAGGAGGUGAGGUUGUGGCCUGGUGUUGGC